Molecule: non-coding RNA, 72 nt
Organism: Podarcis lilfordi (Lilford's wall lizard)
Lineage: Eukaryota; Metazoa; Chordata; Lepidosauria; Squamata; Lacertidae
Source: the annotation of a GenBank genome assembly
ACCAGAAAUGGCUCAGUUGGUAGAGCCUGAGAUUCCUAAUCUCAGGGUAAGGGGCUUGAGCCCCACAUGGGG